Brachypodium distachyon (stiff brome) is the source of this 1711-nucleotide long non-coding RNA. RefSeq lists it as uncharacterized. Lineage: Eukaryota; Viridiplantae; Streptophyta; Magnoliopsida; Poales; Poaceae. The record is from RefSeq and is a predicted model, not a curated record. The transcript is spliced from 3 exons.
AGUUCUGCAAUGAAGAGUCCAAAACCAAGGCAAUAACACAAUCUACUUCUCAGAUGCAAAAUGGUCCGACAUCUGGCAUCGUAUAUUAACAUGGAAGAUAUACAUAACCAUGAAUUUUGAUUGUGAAUUGGAUCGAACUGCUUCCUUGCAAUGAUUCUUACAUCUGACAAACAUGAUCCAACUUCUUUUUGUGUGAGAGUCGACACUGAAGCCUCCAUGAAGCGAUUUGACGCACUCUACAGAUUGCCUGACGUACCCAAAAAUCACGUGCUGAUGCACCGCCGUGCAUGCCGGAACCUUCGUUUCUCCCUUUCCUUUCCGUUAAAAAUGCUAGACAGUUUUGACUUGACGUACCUACUGGGUACUGCCCUCUGGGAUUGUGUGGUUGAGGACUGCUAGCUCCGAUCCAUAAUAAGUUUAUAUUCGUACUAAAUAUAUGUGUAUUCUUGACGGUUAUUAUAAGUCGAACGAAAUAUAUGUGUAUACUUGACAUUGGCCCUUCCAACUUGCUUCUCGGCAGCUAGCGCCAUCUUCCAACUUACUUGUUCAGAUGCAUCUUCCAACUUGCUAAUGACACGGAGACAGCUGAUAGCCCUCUCUCCCUAAUCUCUUGAAAUUCCUGGACUGGCAACUGUACAUGGCAUUCACUGCAAAUACGAAGGAUCCAUGUACUACAUCCUCUGGUGAUGGUAGAAAACACAAUUUUCUAACAAUGCAAGUUGUGGAACUAGGACAGCUAGCUGGGUAUUGUCAUCCUGAGGGAAACAAAACAAUUCUAGACUGCACAAUUUUUCAGAAAUCAUAUUACAAGUUGCAAGGUAGUACCCCUUUUGAUUUCAGACGUAACCUCCUUUACUAGAGCAAUACACACAAAGGAGGCAGGACGUAUUGGGUGGUUGAUGCUGCCUCGUUGAUCGAUGGUGCGUUUCCCGGAAGUUGGUCACCCAUCAGCAUCUCUGUCCAGGUCCACUAAAGCCUAAAGUUGGUGCCCCUGAAUUAUUCCACGAAGAAACCUCCAUGCAGCGUUGACUCUUCGUGGGACAUGAUUGAAGGCUGGGCUGGCCUCUUCUAUAAAUACUCAACCCCAGCACACACUUGUUUCACCAACACAACUCCACACAAGCUCAGAGUGCAGCACACACAGUGACACAGGUUACACCAACACAAGCCCAGAGAGCAGCAGCAGAGAUGUCGAAGAUGUCUUUCCGCGCCUUGUUUCUGGCUGUUCUCAUGAUCAUCUGCGCUUUGCAGACCGUCUCCGUCCAGGGAGGACACGGGUCGGUCUCUUCAGGGAUCAGGAACGCUCCCCCGAGCCGCCCCAGCGGCAGGGUGCCUUCUAGACACCCGCCUUCUUCCGGUUCCGGUUCCAGCGCCCCUAGCAAUCCUGGAUGCGGGAUAGGGCCCAUCCAGUGUUGACGGCUGCAGCGCAGCGCCGAGAAUAUGGAUACAUGCAAUGUGUUACAGUAUGAAUAAACUCGGAUGAGUACACAUAAAUUUGUGCCGCCGUGGUCGUCUUCGCGGGUUGCCGGCUCGCGUUUGUGCCUUCGUGUUUUCUCUAUUUUGCUCGGAUCUUUUCUAGUUUCUCCAUGUAUUUGUAUUCGAAUAUUUCGCCCUUUCUGUAAUGUAAUUUGUUAUCAAACAAAAUAAAGUUGUGUAUCCAUGUAAGGGACCUGUCUGCUUGUCUUGUUGUAUGAACGAAUUAAGGCAGAUA